This 4404-nucleotide long non-coding RNA is filed under the name Mytilus galloprovincialis (Mediterranean mussel). The record is from RNAcentral. Lineage: Eukaryota; Metazoa; Mollusca; Bivalvia; Mytilida; Mytilidae.
GAUCCUUGUCCAGUCAAGUUGUUAUUAUAGUCAAUGUGAUCCUUGUCCAGCCAAGUUGUUAUUAUAGGUAAGUGUACAUUAUAUGUGAACUAUAUAGGAUCAUUUACUAUUGAAAUUUGUUUCAAAUGUAAAAUGUUCAAACUCUAUAGGGGAGAUAAUGUGAAAUGUUCAAACUCUAUAAGGGGAGAUAAUGAAAAAUGUUCAAACUCUAUAAGCAUGGUAAGGGGAGAUAAUGUAAAAUGUUCAAACUCUAUAGGGGGAGAUAAUGUAAAAUAUUCAAACUCUAUAAGGGGAGAUAAUGUUAAAUGUUCAAACUCUAUAAGGGGAGAUAAGCUAAAAUGUUUAAACUCUAUAAGGGGAGAUAAUAACUCUAUCAGGGGAGAUAAUGUAAAAUGUCCAAACUUUAAGGAGAGAUAAAGUAAAAUGUUCAAACACUAUAAGGGGAGAUAAUGUAAAAUAUUCAAACUCUAUAAGGGGAGAUAAUCAACAUAUAGUUUUUACAUUCAAAAUACCACCAAUGUUUUUAUAGUAAACAAGACACAAAGAAUGUGAUAACAUCAUUACAAUGUUAUUUGUCUUCAAAUAUAAGCAUUGAACUUGUGCUAUAGAAAAUAAAGUGAGAUAUAUGUCAAUGAGCAACCCAACAAAGCAAGAAUUGAGAUGUGUACAGGUCAAUAUAUAGUCAACGAUUCAAAAAUAACCUCAUAUGAUAAGGUCUUCAUUUUUAUGAAGCGGGCCAUUAAAUUUAGGAUUUAUUCAUGUUAAAAAUAAUUGCACAUUAUACCUUUUUAUCCCACCACGGGUAAAUUAUGACGUUUGAUUGGUUUAACGCCGUCACAUGGUGACCCCCUAUGGAUCUUAGGGGUUAGUAAAUUUCAUAUGGGUUCAUGACGUCUGUCUAUUUUUAAUGGUGACGUCAUCUAUUGAUGUUGUUGUAUUUCAUUGUUUAUUUUUAUACAAAACGCAGCAGGAAAAGUCCCAUGUGCGAUAAAUUCGUUAUAUCGUAUAUAUGGUUCACUACUUACCCCCUUCGGCCUCAGCCCCUAUGGAUUUUACUAACCCUCUAUGGAUCCGUAGGGGGUCAAUAGCGAACCAUAUAACUUAUAACUGUAAGUUUAUUUUAUUGAAACAGGGAGAUAACACACACACAUUGAUAUGUUUAUAAGAAACAUUCAUAACAAGUACGAAUGAAGUAUUUUUUAGUCAUACUUCAAUGUUACAUAUAUAUCGGGCUUAAACAAGUAAAUAUGAUUUAUAGUCAUUUUUCACAGAUGCUUUAGAUGACGACACAACGUUACUUAUAAAUUAGGCUGACCUCAGAAGUACAUUCAUCAGUAUUUAUUUAUUAGUAUGUAUUGUAUAAUAUAUGUUUUUUUAAGAGAACAAAACAAAUCAAUCCAUAAAGACUGCCUCGUUGAUCUUCACGGUGUUGUGGUAUUGUGUUCACCUUUAGUGUGGGAGGUGGUGGGUUUAAACCCUGGACAGUUCAACCAAAGAUCUUCACGGUGUUGUGGUAUUGUGUUAACUUUUAGUGUGGGAGGUGGUGGGUUUAAACCCUGGACAGUUAAACCAAAGACUUGAAAAUUAAUAUUUGCUGCUUCUCCAAAAUGAGGUAAAUCAAUACAGAGUCAGAGUAAGUAGUUUUCACAUAUGCCAUACAGCCACUUCCUUUUUUUCACAUAUGCCAUACAGUCACUUCCUGUUUUCACAUAUGCCAUACAGCCACUUCCUGUUUUCACAUCUGCCAUACAUCCACUUCCUGGUUUCGCAUCUGUCAUACAUCCACUUCCUGUUUUCACAUCUGUCAUACAGCCACUUCCUGUUUUCACAUCUGCCAUACAGCCACUUCCUGUUUUCACAUCUGCCAUACAGCCACUUCCUGUUUUCAUCUGUCAUACAUCCACUUCCUGUUUUCACAUCUGUCGUACAGCCACAUCCUAUUGGUUGAUAGUUUGAAAUUAUACAACACUCAUUGUACAAUGAAAAUUUCUUUUUCUUGGCUUCUAUGGAAGGGAAUGAUUUUAUAUUUGAUGAACAGCUUGAAAAUGUUGAUUUGUAGAAUGUUAGCAAUUUUUAUGCCCCUUUUUAAUGGGCAUUAUGUUUUUUGAUCUGUGGGUCUGUCUGUUGGUCUGAUCUUCCGUCCGUUGGUCCGUCUGUCCUGCUUCAGGUUAAAGUUUUUGAUGAACUUGAAGUCCAAUCAACUUGAAACUUAGUACACAUGUUCCUUAUGAUAUGAUCUUUCUAAUUUUAAUGCCAAAUUAGAGAUUACUCCCAGUUCACGGUCCACUGAACAUAGAACAUUAUAAUGCGGAAUGGGCAUCCGUGUACUUAGGACACAUUCUUGUUGUUUAUGCUGUGCAACUUCUUUCUGUUACCCAAUAGUUUAAAAUUAUUCAAAUUCAUUGUAUAAAGAAAAUGUUCAUGAAAGUUCAUGUGAUGAAUAACAAUGAUACAUGUAUCCCUAGACUAAAGAAUAAUGAUAUAAACAAUUACAGUUUGUCCAACAGCCUUCAACAAUGAGCAAAACCCAUACCAUAUAAUCAUCUAUAAAAAGCCUUGGUAUGAUAAAAUGUGAAACAUUUCAAAAGAAAAAAUCAACAGCCUACUACAACAAUGAAGGAAAAACAAAUAUGGUACACAGCUUCUAACUACAGCCACUACGUUAUAGGUCCUGGCUGUAGACAGGCACAUACAGAAUAAAAAAAAAAAUGAUUAAAUUUAAUGUGACUGGUCUAGAUUAUUAUUGACAAUGUUUUAAGAAACUAUUACUUGAUAUUUUUUAUGUGUUUCUUAAAUGCCGACCUUUUAUAAAACCCAAAUCUUGAAACGAUCUCAAAAUAAGGAGUUGUGGUAUGAUUAACAAUGAAGCAAUUAAUCCUAGACCAUAGGACAAAGAUAUAAACAAUUACAGGUCGUCUAAUAGCCUUCCACAAUGAGCAAAACUCAGACCAUAUAAUAAUUAGGAGAUGUGGUAUGAUCAACAAUGAAGCAAUUAAUCCUAGACCAUAGGACAAAGAAAUAAACAAUUACAGGUCGUUCAACAGCCUUCAACAAUGAGCAAAACCCAUACCAUAUAAUAAUUAGGAGAUGUGGUAUGAUUAACAAUGAUACAAUUAUUCCUAGACCAUAGGACAAAGAUAUAAACAAUUACAGGUCGUCUAAUAGCCUUCCACAAUGAGCAAAACUCAUACCAUAUAAUAAUUAGAUGUGGUAUGAUUAACAAUGAUACAAUUAUUCCUAGACCAUAGGACAAAGAUAUAAACAAUUACAGGUCGUCUAAAAGCCUUCAACAAUGAGCAAAACCCAUACCAUAUAAUAAUUAGGAGAUGUGGUAUGAUUAACAAUGAUACAAUUAUUCCUAGACCAUAGGACAAAGAUAUAAACAAUUACAGGUCGUUCAACAGCCUUCAACAAUGAGCAAAACCCAUACCAUAUAAUAAUUAGGAGAUGUGGUAUGAUUAACAAUGAUACAAUUAUUCCUAGACCAUAGGACAAAGAUAUAAACAAUUACAGGUCGUCUAAUAGCCUUCAACAAUGAGCAAAACCCAUACCAUAUAAUAAUUAGGAGAUGUGGUAUGAUUAACAAUGAUACAAUUAUUCCUAGACCAUAGGACAAAGAUAUAAACAAUUACAGGUCGUUCAAUAGCCUUCAACAAUGAGCAAAACCCAUACCAUAGGAUAACUAGGAGUUGUGGUAUGAUAAACAAUGAUACAAUUAAUCCUAGACCAUAUGACAAAGAUAUAAACAAUUACAGGUCGUCUAACAGCCUUCAACAAUGAGCAAAACCCAUACCAUAUAAUCAUCUAUAAAAAGCCUUGGUUUGAUAAAAUAUGAAGCAUUUCAAAAGAAAAACGAACAGCCUACUACAACAAUGAAAGAAACACAAAUAUGGUACACAGCUUCUAACUACAGCCACUACGUUAUAUAGGUCCUGUCUGUGGAAAGAGUCACACCCUGUAUGUAGAAUACACAGCUUCUAACUACAUCCACUACGUUAUAUAGGUCCUGGCUGUGGAAAGAGUCACACCCUGUAUGUAGAAUACACAGCUUCUAACUACAGCCACUACUAUAUAUAGGUCCUCGUCUGUGGAAAGAGUCACACCCUGUAUGUAGAAUACACAGCUUCUAACUACAACCACUACCUUAUUGGUCCUGUCUUUCGACAGGAACACAUACAGAAUAAAAAAAAAAUGAUUGAAUUUAAUGUGACUGGUCUAGUUGAUUAUUGAGUAAUGUUUCUGAGAAGCUGCAAUAUGAUAUUUAAUAUUGUUCUUUAUGUGUGUCUUAAUGCUGGUAAAUAAAACUUUUGAAAUUUUUAGAUCUGGAAAAGUGCAAUAGAUGUUCUGGUGUUCGAUGGAAAAAGUCACACCCUGCUUUUAGAAUACAUUUGUACCUCAUUUAGG